GGAUGUCGCCUUCGCUGACGGCGGACGACUCCGACGGCGAGGAGAGGCAGAAGAAGAAAAAGAAGAAGAAGAAGAAACAACAACCGGCCGUCCCUGCUGAGACGGAGACGAGCCGCUCGCUCUGUGACGCCGCCGCCGCCGCCAUCCCCCCUCUGACCUGGAGGAAACCCUAACACACACACACACACGCACACGCACGCGCACACACACACACACACACACGCACACGCACGCACACACACGCGCGGUGCUCUGCUCGUCUUUGGUUCUCAGCAGACUUACGGUUGACAUUAUUUUAAAACCAGCAGACGUAAAAUCUUAUUGAGUAAAUUUUAUUUUUUAAAGUGACUAAUUCUGGCCUUAGUGCGCAGCUGCUGCCCUCGUGUGGCCGUCAGCUGUAACUGCACCUCAGCGGAGGUCAAAAUGAACAAAAAGGCGCUUUCAGAAACAUGCAGACGAGAGAGACGCGUUUGUUCUGCAGGCAGAAGCCGAUUAUUUGCACAUUUUUCGUAUUGAUGCCUUUCAGCUGCACAAAGAGUCAGUAACGCACGGAGAGAACGUUUUCACACCAACCGCUCGUCAACCGCUUGAUCCUCCCAGAAUGCUUGUUUUGCACGAAUAGAACUCCUAAAAGUGAAAUAGAACGAUAGUCUGGGAAACAACAAUCUAACACGCCUCCAGCUAUCAAAGCCCAGCUUGCCUUAAACUGACACACGUUAGUCUGUGGAGUCGCCACAUUGGGAAUAAAUACACCCUCUUGUCACAAUGUUCUCUCAACUUAACUAAAGAUCUAUGAAUGUACCUGCUAUCAAAAUGACUGCUAAUUUGAAGGUGAAGUCAAAUGAUUAUUUCCUGUUAACUGUUUAUUAGAAGGAGACAUCACCACUGAAAGUUCCUAAAUAAAUGCUGCUGAUCUAUUGUGACAGUGGCAUUGAAAUCGCUUUCUUUUAUAGACCAAAGGUGGGCUGUGAUGAUGAUUAUUCUCACUGAAUUCUGUAAUUAUUUUUCUAUGAAAUGGAAAAGGCAAUAAGAUGCAUGUUGGGCUUUUCAUGCUUUAAUAUUGCUGAUUCUUUUCUGUUCAUGACCGUUUAACUUAAAACUAAAAUCCACUUUUUAGGGGAAAAAAGUGGAUUUUAGUUUUGAGAACUUGAAGAGCUGCACAACUGAGGCGUAUUUUCGUCUCCAAAGUAAAAAAUGGACGGCAUCAAUCAGGAGCUGACCUCCACGUUAGCAUCAGUGCUAAUCCACGACGUCGUGGCCCGAGAGUCCCACGUUUCAAUCAAAUAUCAGAAGGGAUCUUGAGACCGUUGACAACAGACACUUUAGGGAAUUUUAUUUUUAUUUUACUAACAGUGACCUAUUUUAAGUAUGUACAGUUUGUAACUGCUAAAUAUUGUAUUUAAUGUACAUAAAACAGCUGUGUAUAAUCCUGUGAUGUCAAUUAAUUUAUACCUUUUUACCAUAAUUGCUGUUGCUAUUAAAUCAGAUCUCUUAGUGUGAGAAUAAAUCCGCCUCAGCGAUGAUCACGUGUACGUUAGUGAAUAAAAGUCUGCUCAACCUGCCACGUCCUCCACAGAAAUACUUCUUCAAUGAGCUGAACUCCUCCAGAUGUUUCCCAGUGCAGAACAAAGUCGCUUCGGGACACUGAACCCGCCGACUGAUCAGAGAGCAGAAAGUAAUCCAGCGUCAACGACCCUCUCUAUUCUGGAGAGAGACGUUAACCGGCUCUUUAGAAGACUAAAUCCCCGUAAGGCAGCCGGCCCGGACUCCGUCUCCCCUCACUCCCUGAAGCAUUGUGCUGACCAGCUGUCUCCGGUGUUCACUGACAUCUUCAACACCUCCCUGGAGACCUGCCACGUACCAGCCUGCUUCAAGGCCUCCACCAUCAUCCCUGUCCCCAAGAAGCCCAGGAUCACAGGACUCAAUGACUACAGGCCCGUCGCCCUGACCUCUGUAGUCAUGAAGUCUUUUGAACGGCUAGUCCUGACCCACCUGAAGUCCCUCAC
This is a long non-coding RNA of Gasterosteus aculeatus aculeatus (three-spined stickleback), 2006 nucleotides long. Lineage: Eukaryota; Metazoa; Chordata; Actinopteri; Perciformes; Gasterosteidae. The record is from Ensembl.